GCAUAUCAAUAAGCGGAGGAAAAGCAUAGAGAGAAGGUAGCAAUUUCGGUUGUGUUAUAGCUCUUUAUUGGAUUCGCCCUGGGGGACUGAGGAACGCAGCGUGCUUUUAGCAUAAGCUUCGGCUUAUCCACGC
RNAcentral lists this ribosomal RNA (133 nucleotides) under Sporobolomyces roseus. Its description in RNAcentral is "partial 26S ribosomal RNA". Lineage: Eukaryota; Fungi; Basidiomycota; Microbotryomycetes; Sporidiobolales; Sporidiobolaceae. The record is from RNAcentral.